UACGUAGGGGGCAAGCGUUGUCCGGAUUUAUUGGGCGUAAAGAGCGUGUAGGCGGCCACACAGGUCAGCUGUGAAAACUCGAGGCUCAACCUCGAGACGUCGGUUGAAACCGUAUGGCUAGAGUCCGGAAGAGGAGAGUGGAAUUCCCGGUGUAGCGGCGAAAUGCGCAGAUAUCGGGAAGAACACCCGUGGCGAAGGCGGCUCUCUGGGACGGUACUGACGCUGAGACGCGAAAGCGUGGGGAGCGAACAGG
Molecule: ribosomal RNA, 253 nt
Filed under: uncultured bacterium
Lineage: Bacteria
Description: partial 16S ribosomal RNA
Rfam family: Bacterial small subunit ribosomal RNA
Source: RNAcentral